Molecule: long non-coding RNA, 838 nt
Organism: Peromyscus californicus insignis
Lineage: Eukaryota; Metazoa; Chordata; Mammalia; Rodentia; Cricetidae
Exons: 2
Source: RefSeq, a predicted model, not a curated record
CAAAUCUAAGGGAUGAAGAAAAAAAGGGAGCAAGGCUGCAGAGUUGCUUUUCUCCUCAGAAGGUUAAAGAGGGACCCUGCCAAGCUACGGAGAGAGAGUCAGGAGAGUCACUCAUUAGCAGAGGGACUUAGGCAUCUAUGGCUGCCAUGUCAGUGGUGACCUUGAAGCACUGAUAAACACCAACUGCGGAAGGGGAGAAACACGGUGAUGAGGCAAGAAUGACCCUGAACUUCUGAUCCUCCUGUCUGCACCUCAUCCCAUCUGCUGCCACCCAGCCAAUGUCAGCUAGCACUGUGAGCAGUCGAAGAAGAUGAGAACUGGUUACCCUUAGUACAGUGUAUGAGGCCAAACAACAGAAUGUCGAAAGUAUGAAUGAAAAACAAGUUUGCUUCACAGCUUCCAGAGUUUGAAUUUCCUCACCAGCUGGAGCCACUUCACCAAGAAAUGUGAACAUUUUCUCAGAAGCACACUACUAUAUGAACUCUAUUGUCACAGUUUUAUUAACAACUAUAUCAAAUAUAUUUUCUGACCUAUAAGUACAAAUCAUCCUGGUGCCUUUCUGUCCAUUGACUAAGUCUGAUAACUUGAGCAGAAUAAAAGCCAGUAUUUCUCACUUGAUUGUUAUAUGGCUAUCGUUCACUCGAGCUGUGCAGCAUGACUGAACUGAUAGAGAAGGGAAUAUGAUUCUGAUAUUAAUUCUUGCUCAAAUGAAAAUGCUUUGUGUGUCAGGCUCCAGUGGAUUCCCUUCUAAUUUCCUUUUGCUCUGUUUUACCCAAGCCAUACUCUGCUGUUGUCAUUUGGUAUUCUGAAUUCCAUAAAGCCUCUUCUGCCCACCUCA